GGUCCCAGGNCCCUACGNGGCGCAGCNGUUGCGAAAACUUGUCAAUGCACGAAAGUGUGAACAGGCUACCCCGAGUGCUGUCCGCUGAGGAUGGCUUUUCUCUGCUGUUAAAAGGCGGGGGAAUAAGGAGAGGGCAAGUCUGGUGUCAGCCGCCGCGGUAAUACCAGCUCUCCGAGUGGUGGGGAUGAUUAUUGGGCCUAAAGCGUCCGUAGCCUGCCUUCCAAGUCUCUCGUUAAAUCCGGCGAUUCAAUCGUUGGACUGCGGGAGAUACUGUUAGGCUAGGAGGCGGGAGAAGCCGACGGUAUUCCCGGGGUAGGGGUAAAAUCCUAUAAUCCCGGGAGGACCACCAGUGGCGAAGGCGGCCGACUAAAACGCGCCCGACGGUGAGGGACGAAAGCUGGGGGAGCGAACGGGAUUAGAUACCCCGGUAGUCCCAGCUGUAAACGAUGCAGGCUAGGUGUUGGGACGGCUACGAGCUGUCCCAGUGCCGCAGGGAAGCCAUUAAGCCUGCCACCUGGGAAGUACGGCCGCAAGGCUGAAUUCUCACGCAAAUAAUUCUUCGCGAAAAAUCACGCGACGUGAGACAGUUCACUUAAAGGAAUUGGCGGGGGAGCAC
This 616-nucleotide ribosomal RNA is filed under the name uncultured archaeon. RNAcentral's name for it is "bacterial SSU rRNA". It matches the Rfam family "Archaeal small subunit ribosomal RNA", at positions 312 to 879 of the family's 1478-position model. The record is from RNAcentral.